GUCGGCUAUGGGGACAUGUACCCCGUGACCAUCGGAGGGAAGAUCGUGGGCUCCCUGUGCGCCAUCGCCGGAGUGUUGACCAUCGCCCUCCCGGUUCCCGUCAUCGUUUCCAAU
Larimichthys crocea (large yellow croaker) is the source of this 114-nucleotide non-coding RNA. NCBI's taxonomy places the organism in Eukaryota, Metazoa, Chordata, Actinopteri, Sciaenidae. The record is from Rfam.